RNAcentral lists this long non-coding RNA (981 nucleotides) under Phoenix dactylifera (date palm). RNAcentral describes it as "long non-coding RNA (PDAC_LNC008561)". The record is from RNAcentral. Lineage: Eukaryota; Viridiplantae; Streptophyta; Magnoliopsida; Arecales; Arecaceae.
GAGGAUCUAAGUCUAUCCGUGGUUGCAGGAACGAGCUGGGACGCUGGUGAUGCGGAGAAAAUCUUGGCUGGAUGGCUGAAUCUGUGGACGGCCGGGGAAAGCAUGGGAUGCUGGGAGAUGAUCACGGAUGCUUCGAAUCGGAGGAUUCCUUCGGCUGGGAACAGGUGAUGAUCCACGGGAUUCGGCAACUUGGGUGUUAGAUGAACAUCAGGGAGUGAAGGUGUUGUGGGCGUUUGAGAAGAUCUCGGAGGAAGAGGAUCACAGAGAAGAUGGGAGGAAGUUGGGACUCGGGAUAAGGAUGAUGUUGGAACAGGGGAGCUGGGACGGAUGCAGAGGAAUUCGAAAGAGAUGAAGCUCGGGAAUGGCUGGAUUCGGCUAGUAACAGGGAAUGGUGUGGAUUUGUAAACGGGAUAAGAUUUGUUCCGCUGGGAACAGAGGAGCUGGGAGCUGAUCCAGAUGCUGGCCACGGGAUCCUCGGAUGCGCGAGGCUAAGGAAUUUGGCUAGGAUCAGUUCGGAAGAUGGCUGGGACACGUUCAUGAUCGGGAAGAGAUCUGUGCUAUCUACGGAAGACUCGGACGGGAUGCUGGGAGGAAGUUGUUCCGAAACAGGGGAAGACCGUGGUCGUUGAGAGAUGAUAUGUGAAUGGCUGAUGAAUGAAGAUCGAUCGCAGAUGAUUCGGGAGGAUAAGGAGGAUAGGAUGGAGUGCUGGAUGCGGACGGGAUGAAGAUUUUCACGGUUGAAGCUGGGAGUCCGGAAGAAAAGGGUGGUUGCUGGGCCGUUGGGAGAUUCGAGAAGAUGAAGCUGGACGUUGGGAGAUUCGAGAAGAUGAAGCUAAGGAGGGAUUUGCUGACGGAGUUGGAAGAAGAAGAUCCGCGGCUCUGUUCCUUGUUCUGUUUUGGGUCCGAAUGAAGGCUUCGAAUUAGGAAGGGGCACACGGCUUUGUUCCAAAGGCUGUGGACACGGAAGUUGGGAAGGACACG